AUACGUAGGGGGCAAGCGUUAUCCGGAUUUACUGGGUGUAAAGGGAGCGUAGACGGAAGGCCAAGUCUGAUGUGAAAGCCCGCGGCUCAACUGCGGGACUGCAUUGGAAACUGGUCAUCUGGAGUGCAGGAGGGGUAAGCGGAAUUCCUAGUGUAGCGGUGAAAUGCGUAGAUAUUAGGAGGAACACCGGUGGCGAAGGCGGCUUACUGGACUGUAACUGACGUUGAGGCUCGAAAGCGUGGGGAGAAAACAGGAUUAGAUGCCCUGGUAGUCCACGCCGUAAACGAUGAAUACUAGGUGUUGGGUUCCAAUAGGGAUUCGGUGCCGCAGCUAACGCAAUAAGUAUUCCACCUGGGGAGUACGUUCGCAAGAAUGAAACUCAAAGGAAUUGACGGGG
This 397-nucleotide ribosomal RNA is filed under the name uncultured bacterium. RNAcentral describes it as "partial 16S ribosomal RNA". It matches the Rfam family "Bacterial small subunit ribosomal RNA", at positions 523 to 918 of the family's 1533-position model. The record is from RNAcentral.